Molecule: long non-coding RNA, 350 nt
Filed under: Fukomys damarensis (Damara mole-rat)
Lineage: Eukaryota; Metazoa; Chordata; Mammalia; Rodentia; Bathyergidae
Description: lncRNA (ENSFDAG00000028197.1)
Source: RNAcentral
CUCAUACUGCAGGCCCACACAGGUCUUCUCAGAUUCUCUGCAUGUGCUCUUUCAGAUCUUGAUUUCUCCUUCACCAGUGUGGACUGGAAGUAGUCUGGUGGUGUAGAGAAGAUGCCAGAUUUAGAAGCUGCUGUCAGAAGGCAAUGCCUCUGGGAUGCAAAGUUUCUUGUAGGUUUAGGACUAUCACACAUUAAAUAUUUUAUUCAAUAUGAACCUGGUCCUGGACUUCAAGGAGGUUACAACCUAUUUGGGAGAGAAUAAAGUUCCAGCAAUGCAAAUUAAGGAUCCAACAAGGUAAAUUAAAAAUUCAGUGUAAGGAAGAACAUCCCAACAUUGCAUGGUGAUUGCCA